RNAcentral lists this long non-coding RNA (521 nucleotides) under Olea europaea (common olive). RNAcentral describes it as "long non-coding RNA (OEUR_LNC006694)". The record is from RNAcentral. Lineage: Eukaryota; Viridiplantae; Streptophyta; Magnoliopsida; Lamiales; Oleaceae.
CUAUAUUACAACCAUCGGAAGGAGCACAGCUGCGGUGAUAACUUUGCUGUGGUGGCGUGAGCAAAGUUGCUGCAGCGACUCUCACAUCAUUGCCCAUAGUUGCCGCUUAGCACAACGAGGAGGACCUUUAGAAGGAGGUGGCACCAUCGGCGUUGGGCAAAGGCAGCGGCACGGAUUUUCAAUUUGGGUAGCAUUUUGGGCAAUUUAAGGUGGACCUUUUUGGUGAUGGAUUUGAUGUGGGAAGAAGGUUUUGGGAGGUUUCUAGUAGCUAGGUAAAUUGAUAUGGGAAAAUUUGGAUUUAUUUCUAAUUUACCUUUGUUUUCUUGUCAUCAUGUUUAUUGUGGUGUAGUGGGUGCAAUGUGGUGGUGGUUCAUUUACGAUCGCGAUGGUGGUGAUGGUGAUUGGUUGUUGGUCCAGGUCUCUGUACAAUAAUUCUAGCUAAAGAAUAAUAGAAUUUUGUUGUCUUUUUGUUAGUGUUUAUUACAAGGAGACUGGAAUGUAGCUGGCACUCACAUCCAUUA